GCAAGGAAUUUUGCACAAUCGACGCAAGUCGGAUGCAGCAACGCCGCGUGGGGGAUGAAGGCUCUCGGGUUGUAAACCCCUUUUGCGAGGGAAGAAGAUCUGACGGUACCUCGCGAAUAAGUCACGGCUAACUACGUGCCAGCAGCCGCGGUAAUACGUAGGUGGCGAACGUUGUCCGGAUUCACUGGGCGUAAAGCGCGCGCAGGCGGACUGAUAAGUCAGAGGUGAAAUCUCCCGGCUCAACUGGGAGGGGCCCUUUGAUACUGUCAGUCUUGAGGCACCUAGAGGAGAGUGGAAUUCCCGGUGUAGUGGUGGAAUGCGUAGAUAUCGGGAGGAACACCAGUGGCGAAAGCGACUCUCUGGGGGUGACCUGACGCUGAGGCGCGAAAGCGUGGGGAGCAAACGGGAUUAGAAACCCCAGUAGUCC
Molecule: ribosomal RNA, 427 nt
Filed under: uncultured bacterium
Lineage: Bacteria
Description: bacterial SSU rRNA
Rfam family: Bacterial small subunit ribosomal RNA
Source: RNAcentral